RNAcentral lists this ribosomal RNA (424 nucleotides) under uncultured beta proteobacterium. RNAcentral's name for it is "bacterial SSU rRNA". It matches the Rfam family "Bacterial small subunit ribosomal RNA", at positions 202 to 622 of the family's 1533-position model. The record is from RNAcentral. Lineage: Bacteria; Pseudomonadati; Pseudomonadota; Betaproteobacteria.
CAAGACCUCGCGCUCAUGGAGCGGCCGAUGUCGGAUUAGCUAGUUGGCGGGGUAAAGGCCCACCAAGGCGACGAUCCGUAGCUGGUUUGAGAGAACGACCAGCCACACUGGGACUGAGACACGGCCCAGACUCCUACGGGAGGCAGCAGUGGGGAAUUUUGGACAAUGGGGGCAACCCUGAUCCAGCCAUGCCGCGUGAGUGAAGAAGGCCUUCGGGUUGUAAAGCUCUUUCGGCCGGAACGAAAUCGCGUACGUGAAUAACGUGCGUGGAUGACGGUACUGGAAGAAGAAGCACCGGCUAACUACGUGCCAGCAGCCGCGGUAAUACGUAGGGUGCGAGCGUUAAUCGGAAUUACUGGGCGUAAAGCGUGCGUAGGCGGUUUCGCAAGUCAGAUGUGAAAUCCCCGGGCUUAACCUGGGAACU